UCCUCCCUCCCUCCCGCGCCGGGCACUUCCGGGCCGGCCGGGAUCCGUCGCCGGGUUUUGGAAGCCACCGCCGCUCCCUGCGCCAGGCGCUGGGCUCUCAGCAGGGCGCGUCCGCCCACCGGCCGCGGUGGAGAGGAUGAGUUACCUCGCCUGGCGGGGAUCUCCUUCGACCCAGCCUUAAACUUUCCUUACCUAAAAAGUCCACUGAUAACGCCUCUUAAGUCGAGAGACGUAGGGUGCGAAAGGAGGCCAACUGUUUCUCCGUACGAUUUCCUUGAGGUUGUAGCAGACUAGAAAGCCAAUAUGCAACUUUUACUGAACCUUUGUUGCGAGCCCGUAACUAUGUGAAGGGAUAGAACAAAAACAGCAGUGUACGUCUCCAGCUAGAAAUACAGACAACUCCGGGUAGGCAAAUGAAGUGCCACAGUGGAACGGUUUUCGGUUAGAGAAGAUGAGCCUCAAAAGGAAGUCUCAGGCCUAGGAAGGGAGGGGGUCCGCCGAGAGGCAGCCGAGGUUGCUUGCAAAGCACUGAACAGGUGGCAUCCCAUGACUGACGUGGGUAAAUUAUGCUGUAUCUAAGCAAAUGUCUGAAGAGAUGAGGAGACUGCCUUAUGGAGUUUAAAGAAAGGUGAAAACAGAACGUCAUUCAGCAUUCGUGAGAGAAAACUUGUAGCUGCCAAGAAUAUUCUCCUUUAAAGAGGUUUGAGGGACCAAAGCAGGCAUGAAUAUCAUUGAAGGACCCCCGCCCCCAUUCCUUUCACUUUAACUGCGCAUCCGUGAACUGUUUACCUCCUUUCCCCCAAAAAAAGAGAGGUGGAAGAAAAACAUUAUUUUGAGCACUGUAAUCAAAGACCUGUACGAUCUUUUUAAAUCCUCUCAACUUCAUUGCAGUUCCAUGGUGGAGAUUAUUCCCACCUUACAGAUAAAGCAACUGAGGAUCAGAAGUAAUAAGUAACUCAUUCAAGGGUGAGUGGAGUUUGAAUACUGGGAAAGCAGAUUUCCCUCACUUCAAAUUCAUACUACUUUACCUUAUUCAACGUAUUUAACACCCAAAACGUGUGGGAUACAACCAGCAUCAAAGAUUUUCAGAAAAAAAGCUUGGCCACUUUUUGGGAAUUGAACACCUGCAGUAGUGUCCUCUCCUUCAUGUACCUCACAGUGUUUCAAUGCAGUUCACUUGCUGCGCCAGGACCCUGAUAAAUGUUUAAGGUUUGAGUGAAUUGGAGCCCACUAGCAUUGCCAAAACACCUGGAAGGGAUGUGCAUGGAAGAGAAGAGUGUUCUAUGUUAUACAUCUAUUUAAGCAGCAGUCGCUGUCUUCCAGCUGGCCCGUACCACACAAGGGACUCUCUCGGGUUGUCUACUGUGCUAUCAUCUUUCUCAUGAGCACCUGCUGGGGUCCACGGAAAAGAGCCUGGGAGAUGUGGAAAGUCUUCCAGGACUGAUUUGAAAAUAGCUGAAAUAUAUCCUGAAGAAUUUUCAACUUUUGCAAAAUUCAAAUUUUUAUUACUAUUAUGAUCCUUACCUUAUGGAUAAGGAAACUGAAGCACAGAGAGUUUAAGAAACUUGACAAAGCUUCAAAGCUAGUUGGUGGCAAAGCCAGGAUAUGGACCAAGACAGGCUGGAUCCAGAGCAUAUGCUAUUCUACCGUGUUUCAUUUUCACUAAAUUCAAGGAGGAUCACUUGGGAAGUCACUGGGACUCUAAUAGAGUGAGCCUUAGAAGGGCAGGUCACCUGCAACCUGGGCCAGAGAGGGGCAAGACCAGAGGGAGAGAAUAUAUUGCCAAAUACCUGAAAGCCCCAGUCAGAAAGGGAUGCAUAAGUGCCUCUAAGAAAUCGAGAAAAGCACCCACAAGAUAAAGAGCAAACUCUGGCCGAGGAAGGAGAAAACAUGCUUGGACUACUCAGUGGAUGUCAUGCCCUCAUCUAGGCAUCCGACUUAAGGAAUCAGAAAUGGGCCAUGAUUAUUGAGUAGCCAUGGCAGUUCAGCUGAUGGAUGAUCAAUGGACUUCAACUCAGAUGCACGGUUUGACUGACAGAAGAAAAUUCUCAUUCAGGCUAAUGGGCGACUUGAAUCGGACUCGUGGUGUUAGAAAGUGAGAAAAGGAAAGAGGCUAGAGAUUGCCUUCUUUCCUCCAGGAGAGAGUAACUGAGCAUUAUAAAGGUUUUCUGCCAAAAGCAUGGAGCCUCAGAUAAGUAAUCUCAUCCUUCACCCAUGAUAAAUAAGCUAUUAAAAAUCAAGGGAAAAAGGUAACAGUUGUAAUGUCUGAAAUGCACAGACAAUGUUGUGGAAACCUCAUUUGUAAGACCACAAGUCUUCUCCAUUGUUUAACCACAAUGCUGGAGUCUUCUCUAUUUUUAUUUUUGUUUGGAGAUUUUUCUCUUCCCCGGGCUGAAGUGCUUUGUGCAUGAGACAGAAAAGCUGCCAGGACUAGUCCAUCUGGCUGGCCAAAUGGAUUGCACUCACUGGAGCAUUGCCAGAUGUAUAUCAGUAGAAAGUUUAAUUUCUGGGCAGUCUAAGCCCUCAGUUCCUUUCUCAGUUUAAUGGAAACCUUGUUUCCAUUUUACAGAAACUCCUGCAGUUGGCCUGAGUGUUGUCACCCAGUCUUGCCUCCUAUAAUCUUGGUUCCAGUCUCCAUAGAGAUCACCCUGGUCAAAAGUCCAUCCUCUCGUCUUUAUCAAGUCCAAAGCAGUGAAAUGAGUUUGACAAAAAGGUUUAUGCCAAGUGAAAAAUCACUGUGUUACAUUUGAUUACAUUUGUCUGACCUUGAACAAUCUUAGGAGCCAGAGUAGUCAUUUUAGUUAAGUAAUUUAGUUUAAAUUGCUUAAUUAAGAAAUAAAAUUUCAUGGAAUUCCCUAGAUUAAUUUGCACUUAUACGUAAGAGCAUCAACAUUUAUAAUCAAUUUAAAGAGGAAAUAGGCCUAGAGUAUUUUAUAGUUUGCAGUGAAACCUAAUUGGAUUCAUUUGAGCUGAAAUAGGAAAUAUAGAGAGAUCUGAUAUAUUUUUAAUUUCCCACAUCUUAAGGACAAAUAAUGGGCAUUUAAUCUUUGUGAGGCAAUGAGUUUUAGAGUUGAAGUUGAAGAAAUUGUGGAUUUCAAAGAUAAACCGGCUGAUUCUCCUGUGUUCUUACCUUUUGGGAAAGGCAUUCAGCAGAGCAGGAUUGUAACAGGAACUCACAGCCCGGGCUGACCUACACCUGUGAGUAGGUGACAGUCACAGAGGAGGGUGUUUUGGCCCAGCAUAGCCCUGCUCCUGUCAGGCUUCUGUACAUGUUCUCUACCCGCACUGAUCACUCCCCUCUUUCUCUCGAAAAAUAUUUGAAAUGAGAGUGUCAGAUGUGAGUGUUUUAAGAAGAUUCUGUCUGAGGUAUAGGGAAGGGAUUUGAGGGGAAAAGGACAGAGAGAAGAAGGGAUCGUUAUUAAACUCAUGUGUCUAUCCAAAUCACAGAUCCUGAAAUUCUGAAUGGAGACAGCAGUAGUAGAAAUGGAGAAGAGGAGAUAAUUCUGGAGUUAAUAUCAAAAGGACUCAAGACAUCCAAGUUUGUCUUGGGCUGUGCUGGUUAAGGCCCGUAGUACUAUCCUUUUAUUCUCUGGUAUGUCCCAGUUUGGCAGACAGAUUUAUAUGGUUACCCUAGUGGAAGAAGGAAUGACAAUCACAUUGAGAAUUCUAGGGAAGAGAUGUGUUGGAAAUGGAGAUUUCAGACUUACUAUAUUUGAGAUGACUAUUCAUCCAUUUCCUUCAAACCUUUGUUCAAGUCUCCCUUUCUCAGUGAGGUUCCCUUAACCAUCUAAUUUAGUCCUUCAGUCCUCCCCCUUAACCCAUUCCUGAUCCCCCUUAUCUUGCCCUACUUUUUCUUUAGUCUUAGCAUUUAACAACUUCCAUGUGUAUAAUCAUCUUGAUUAUCAUGUUCACCAUUGCCUACCUGCUAUGACGGGAGCUCCUUGAGGAUAAGGAUCUUGAUCUGUUCAUGGAUGUAUUCCAAGUACCUAAAAGAGUAUGUGCUAUUUAGUAGGUAAAUCAAUGACUAUUUUUGAAUGAAAGAAUUAAUAAGUGUAUUGAAAGAACUCAAAAAAAUAUGUAUUGAAAGCCAACUAUUUUUUGAGCCCUUGUGUGUGUCCUAGUCGGAGAUGUUCAGUAGAUUCCAGGAUGCUCAAUAGAAAGUGAAUACACAUGACUCUGAGACUCGAGAGGUUGUUUGGGCUAGAAUUAUAAAAGCGUGUAUCAGUAAUAAGCAGAUUGUGUUUGUACUAUGGCAUGAUUAAUACCCCUUAGUGAAAUCAUUUUAAGAAGAGGGCUCAGGAUCGAGCCUAGAGAUUAACAACAUUGAAUGGAAACAGUGGAAAUAGCCAAUGAAAAAGCACAAUCAAGAAAGGGUAAUGUUGGGGUGCCUGGGUGGCUCAGUUGGUUAAGCGUUGACUUCAGCUCAGGUCAUGAUCUCACAGUCUGUGA
Felis catus (domestic cat) is the source of this 4449-nucleotide long non-coding RNA. RefSeq lists it as uncharacterized. Lineage: Eukaryota; Metazoa; Chordata; Mammalia; Carnivora; Felidae. The transcript has 9 exons. The record is from RefSeq and is a predicted model, not a curated record.